AAGAACUGACAAUGAAAUGGUGCAUAAAAAUUGAGGAACGGCUGAACAAAUUAUGGUAUGUGAAUAUAAUAGAAACUAUGCACUGUAAUUAAUGAAGAAAGACUGUUUAGAGAGAUCUGGGAAGACUUUUAUGAACUACUGCGGGGAGAAACCCAGAGGGUAAUUGAAUGACUCCCCAAGAGGAACGGAGGUUUUAAAAGAGCUGCUGUCUGAUAUGUAGAAGGGCAAAUGGAAACUGGGCUACAGCACAUGAAAGCAUAUCUUCUCCUGCUCAGAAUAUAAACUUCUGUAUGCAAGGGCAGCAGCAUCCAAAGCAUGGUACCAUCCCAGUGACCUUCAGAAGUCUUUCUAACUCCCUACAUAUGGACAAGGUGAACUGUGUCUAGGAUUCAGAUACACUGGUCUCCUUGCUGUUCUUCACACAAGACAAUAAUUCAUCUUCCAGUUCCAUUCAUUUUCACUGGCUAUCAUCCAUCUGAAAGGUUCCUCUUCGUCAGCUCCUCCUCCCAGCUUCAAGACCACACAAAUUCAACCUUAUGUAAGAGGCCAUCCCCAUCUCAUCCCAUCUCCCCAGCUGCUAAUGACUUCAAUUCACCUACAAUUUACACUAUGUGUCCUGUAUGUGUAUAAUUGUUCAUGUUAUA
Long non-coding RNA from Phascolarctos cinereus (koala), 644 nucleotides. RefSeq lists it as uncharacterized. Lineage: Eukaryota; Metazoa; Chordata; Mammalia; Diprotodontia; Phascolarctidae. The record is from RefSeq and is a predicted model, not a curated record.